This is a non-coding RNA of Gossypium raimondii (Peruvian cotton), 107 nucleotides long. Lineage: Eukaryota; Viridiplantae; Streptophyta; Magnoliopsida; Malvales; Malvaceae. The record is from Rfam.
AUACCAUGGUGAGGGCACUUUCGUAAUAACUCCUUGAACUGCUCACUUGCCUCAUAUAAAGAUUCUUCGUCAAGUUGCUGAAAUGAAGUGAUUUCAUUUAGGAGCUU